ACAACCAUAAAAGACUUUAUUCGCAGUUCAUGCAGACGAACGAAAAGGAACUGCCACUUGUUGUUGAAUUCGAAUAUUGAGCAUACGAAAUCGAUUACAAUUUUCUUUGCUUCUUUGAUUAGACAGCCGUAUUUUAUAAAAUGAAGUUAUUUGUGUUGACGCUGCUUGUUGCAGGUUCAAUUGCCACGCAUGUAGGCACAAAUCAGUUGGAUAGAGCAGGCAAACAUAUGGCUGGACGUUUUCCUCGCAGGGCUGAGGAUUGUAUUGGUGAAGGGUGUAAAAAUCCAACAAUAACAGUCGCUGAUACGUGGGCAGGCAUAUGUUACACAGAUCCUGAAACUAAACAUCCACGAUGCAGUGAUAAGUUUUGCUAUCCGGAUGAAAUCAUUGACCGAUCUACGUUGUAAACCAGACGGCCUCCUAAAAGACUGCAAAUGUAUUAAGAAUCCGGACAUAACAUUUAUUAAACCUACAACUGUACCAC
Molecule: long non-coding RNA, 484 nt
Organism: Bradysia coprophila
Lineage: Eukaryota; Metazoa; Arthropoda; Insecta; Diptera; Sciaridae
Source: RefSeq, a predicted model, not a curated record